AAUCUAUCUGGACACUUAGUCUACAGCAGUGGGGCUAUUCAGCUGGUUUUAUCUGGUUUGGGUGAACUGAUAGCUGCGCCUGCGGGAAGCUCCGCCACCUGCCCAGACGUCAUCACGUCCCGUUUUUGAUGUUCCGCGCUUACACGUGCACUCCCAUUUGUGAACCAGUAGCGAAGCAUCUUGCCGCAAGUGGCAGCACCGUCGUGAUGAUCCAUACGGUAUUCUGCAGCAAGUGGUGACACCGGUGCAAAUAGCCUUGCGGUGUUCUGCUGUGAGGUGCAGCACUGGUGUGAUAAACCACAUGGCAUCCGGCCAUGAGUCCCUGCAAGUGGCUGCCGAAGAAGUCAGGCAGCGGUGGAACAAGUGUUGGGGCAUGGGAGGCCUGGAUGAGACGGUCUUAAGUUCUUAUCACAUUCAUAAAGGAGAAUAUGGAUCUUGGUAAACUGGUGUGAAAACUCUAGCCAAAAUCAACAGGCAAUCUGAUUCCUGCCAGGUUAAGUUCAUCUUUGUAUCUGUAUGUGGAACUAGAUGAAGACUUUGAAUUGAAGAAAGCAGAGCCAUUCAGUACAGGUAGUCCUUGAUUUACAACCAUUCCUUUAGAGGUCUUCGAAGUUACAACGGUGUUGAAAAUGGUGACAUGUGACCAGUCCUCGCACUUAUGAUCGUCGUAGUAUCCCCAUGGUCAUGUGAUCAAAAUCUGGG
Long non-coding RNA from Pantherophis guttatus, 702 nucleotides. RefSeq lists it as uncharacterized. NCBI's taxonomy places the organism in Eukaryota, Metazoa, Chordata, Lepidosauria, Squamata, Colubridae. The record is from RefSeq and is a predicted model, not a curated record.